CCAAGGAGUCUAACAUGUGCGCGAGUCAUUGGGACACGCAAACCUAAAGGCGAAAUGAAAGUGAAGGUCUGCCUAGCGCUGACCGAGGGAGGAUGGGCCGCGUCACGAUGCGGUCCCGCACUCCCGGGGCGUCUCGUUCUCAUUACGAGAAGAGGCGCACCCAGAGCGUACACGUUGGGACCCGAAAGAUGGUGAACUAUGCCUGGUCAGGACGAAGUCAGGGGAAACCCUGAUGGAGGUCCGUAGCGAUUCUGACGUGCAAAUCGAUCGUCGGAACUGGGUAUAGGGGCGAAAGACUAAUCGAACCAUCUAGUAGCUGGUUCCCUCCGAAGUUUCCCUCAGGAUAGCUGGCACUCGCGUACAAAACGUACACGAGUCUCAUCCGGUAAAGCGAAUGAUUAGAGGCCUUGGGGCCGAAACGACCUCAACCUAUUCUCAAACUUUAAAUGGGUGAGAUCUCUGGCUUGCUUGAACUAUGAAGCCACGAGAUUUCGGAUCAGAGUGCCAAGUGGGCCACUUUU
RNAcentral lists this ribosomal RNA (521 nucleotides) under Selandria serva. Its description in RNAcentral is "eukaryotic LSU rRNA". It matches the Rfam family "Eukaryotic large subunit ribosomal RNA", at positions 666 to 1138 of the family's 3401-position model. The record is from RNAcentral. Lineage: Eukaryota; Metazoa; Arthropoda; Insecta; Hymenoptera; Tenthredinidae.